Balaenoptera musculus (blue whale) is the source of this 1331-nucleotide RNA transcript. It is a transcript of the gene named COMM domain containing 4, with no coding region annotated. The record is from RefSeq and is a predicted model, not a curated record. The transcript has 6 exons. NCBI's taxonomy places the organism in Eukaryota, Metazoa, Chordata, Mammalia, Artiodactyla, Balaenopteridae.
UGACCGCCACAUCACCUGACCCGGCGCGACAGGAAGGUGAAAGUCUUGGGCGCGGGCUUCCUGGCGUGAUGAGGUUCCGGUUCUGUGGUGACCUGGACUGUCCUGACUGGGUCCUGGCAGAGAUCAGCACGCUGGCCAAAAUUUCCUCCGUGAAGCUGAGGCUGCUGUGUAGCCAGGUGCUGAAGGACCUUCUGGGACAGGGGAUUGAUUAUGAGAAGAUCCUGAAGCUCACCGCUGAUGCCAGGUUUGAGUCGGGUGAUGUGAAGGCCACAGUGGCAGUGCUGAGUUUCAUCCUCUCCAGUGCGGCCAAGCAUAGCGUGGAUGGCGAGUCCUUGUCCAGUGAACUGCAGCAGCUGGGGCUGCCCAAAGGUACGGGGACGAGGGCAGGCAGGUGGGUAACCUGUGGGCCAAGGGGUGCCAGGCAAAGGUCAGGCUGUGUGACCCUGAGAUGCACCUUGCCCUCUCUGGGCCAGGAGCCUGAGACCUGCCCUUUGAGUGGCCUAAGCCCCAGCACCCACCCGCUAGCUCAGGGGACCUCCCUUCGGCCCCCAGAGCAUGCAGCCAGCCUGUGUCGCUGUUAUGAGGAGAAGCAAAGCUCCCUGCAGGAGCACCUGCGGGCCUGCAGCUUGCGAGGUGAGUGUGGGGUGCCAGGGUGGGGGCUGGGCUCCAUUCUAGAAGGUGCAUGUGGCUUGGGAGGUGUUGGUCCUCAGAAAGGAGACUUAACCACAUCACAUGUCGAGCAGUCACAGAGCUGGGAUUCCUGACACCAGCCCCAGUUUCUUUCCUCUGAGAUCUGCUGUGGGUAAUCUGAGCUCCUGGAUCAGAGGGAUGAGAGCUCAAAGGCCACAUAGCCCUGAAGGGUUCAGGGCUGAACCAGGGUGUGGGCUAGGGCUGCCUGGCUCCCCUGCCUGUGACCCUGAGCCCCUUUCGGUCUUGCAGUGAAUAGGCUGGCAGGCGUGGGCUGGCGGGUGGACUACACCCUGAGUUCUAGCCUGCUGCGGUCCGUGGAAGAGCCCAUGGUGCACCUGCGGCUGGAGGUGGCAGCUGCCUCGGGUGCCCCGGCCCAGCCUGUUACCAUGUCCCUCUCAGCAGACAAGUUCCAGGUCCUCCUGGCAGAACUGAAGCAGGCCCAGACCCUGAUGAGCUCCCUGGGCUGAGAAGAAGAGCUCAAGGGGCCCAUGUGGAGCUGCCCUCCGAACUUCUCUUCAGGGGGUGCCCCAGCUCCAGGACCCUAGGGGCCUGGCCUCCUGGAUGUCUGGCUUCCUAGGUUACCACCUGAGGAUUCAGCCUAGGGAUCCUGAACACUCUUGCAGCAUUGUCUUCCCUCCCCC